CUCCUCUGCCAAGCCGGCCACAGCAGCCUCCAAAGAACUACAACAGAGCAGCCUUCCCGGUAGCUCCCGAGGCUGCGAAACACCCACAAAGGGAUAGGAAUAGAACCCCGCAAAUCCGUGGCCAUCCACAGAUGAAGGUGUGGAUAUCUGCAGCUCGUUUCGAUUGUCGAAAGAAUGGAGGG
Pelodiscus sinensis (Chinese soft-shelled turtle) is the source of this 182-nucleotide non-coding RNA. NCBI's taxonomy places the organism in Eukaryota, Metazoa, Chordata, Testudines, Trionychidae. The record is from RefSeq and is a predicted model, not a curated record.